RNAcentral lists this ribosomal RNA (480 nucleotides) under uncultured bacterium. RNAcentral describes it as "partial 16S ribosomal RNA". It matches the Rfam family "Bacterial small subunit ribosomal RNA", at positions 28 to 507 of the family's 1533-position model. The record is from RNAcentral.
GAUGAACGCUAGCGGCAGGCCUAACACAUGCAAGUCGAGGGGGAGGUUACUUUCGGGUAACUGAGACCGGCGUACGGGUGCGUAACGCGUAUACAAUCUGCCUUUCACUGGGGGAUAGCCCGAAGAAAUUUGGAUUAAUACCCCAUAGUAUAGUAAUACGGCAUCGUGAUGCUAUUAAAGCUUAGGUGGUGAAAGAUGAGUAUGCGUUCUAUUAGCUAGUUGGAGAGGUAACGGCUCCCCAAGGCGAUGAUAGAUAGGGGUUCUGAGAGGGAUGUCCCCCAGAAGGGAACUGAGAUACAGACCAGACGCAUAAGGGAGCCAGCAGUGAGGAAUAUAGGACGAUGGUCGGAAGAAUGAUCAAGCCAUGCGGCGUGCAGGAAGAAGGGCUUAGGGAUGGUAAACUGCUGUUGUAAGGGAAGAAUAAGGGCUACGCGUAGUUUGAUGACGGUACCUUACGAAUAAGCACCGGCUAACUCCGUG